Molecule: long non-coding RNA, 380 nt
Organism: Parus major (Great Tit)
Lineage: Eukaryota; Metazoa; Chordata; Aves; Passeriformes; Paridae
Exons: 3
Source: RefSeq, a predicted model, not a curated record
UAUUGGAUUUUUAUUUUUUUUUAACUUACUAGUUUAGAGCUGGGCUUCGGUGGCAUUUUUACCAGUAUCACCACUUUAGAUUUUCCAGGUGCAUCCACUGGCUACACCAAAGGACCUACUGAAUUCUCCAUCCCCUCAGCAAUAAUGUAACCAGGAACUCAGAUGAGGAUGAUUCCCCUGGUCUGCUUCAGGAGGAUUCCUCAUCUUCAUUUAAGGAGACGUUGACCACAUGCAAAGGGCCACUGUGACCUUUCAUUGCUUCACUUACGAAUAUUCACUUCAUUUAAAGAGAUCUCCCUUAAGACUACAGACCACAUAAAAAAUGUCUUGCACAGCCUGCCUAGAGCCCCUUUCCAUGUGUAAUCAACACAUCAACUCUU